This 725-nucleotide ribosomal RNA is filed under the name uncultured Bacilli bacterium. Its description in RNAcentral is "bacterial SSU rRNA". It matches the Rfam family "Bacterial small subunit ribosomal RNA", at positions 57 to 765 of the family's 1533-position model. Lineage: Bacteria; Bacillati; Bacillota; Bacilli. The record is from RNAcentral.
GCAAGUAGAACGCUGAAGAGAGGAGCUUGCUCUUCUUGGAUGAGUUGCGAACGGGUGAGUAACGCGUAGGUAACCUGCCUUGUAGCGGGGGAUAACUAUUGGAAACGAUAGCUAAUACCGCAUAACAAUGGAUGACACAUGUCAUUUAUUUGAAAGGGGCAAUUGCUCCACUACAAGAUGGACCUGCGUUGUAUUAGCUAGUAGGUGAGGUAACGGCUCACCUAGGCGACGAUACAUAGCCGACCUGAGAGGGUGAUCGGCCACACUGGGACUGAGACACGGCCCAGACUCCUACGGGAGGCAGCAGUAGGGAAUCUUCGGCAAUGGGGGCAACCCUGACCGAGCAACGCCGCGUGAGUGAAGAAGGUUUUCGGAUCGUAAAGCUCUGUUGUAAGUCAAGAACGAGUGUGAGAGUGGAAAGUUCACACUGUGACGGUAGCUUACCAGAAAGGGACGGCUAACUACGUGCCAGCAGCCGCGGUAAUACGUAGGUCCCGAGCGUUGUCCGGAUUUAUUGGGCGUAAAGCGAGCGCAGGCGGUUUGAUAAGUCUGAAGUUAAAGGCUGUGGCUCAACCAUAGUUCGCUUUGGAAACUGUCAUACUUGAGUGCCGGAGGGGUAAGCGGAAUUCCUAGUGUAGCGGUGAAAUGCGUAGAUAUUAGGAGGAACACCAGUGGCGAAGGCGGCUUACUGGACGGUAACUGACGUUGAGGCUCGAAAGCGUGGG